This 29018-nucleotide long non-coding RNA is filed under the name Nicotiana benthamiana. RNAcentral describes it as "long non-coding RNA (NBEN_LNC012557)". The record is from RNAcentral. Lineage: Eukaryota; Viridiplantae; Streptophyta; Magnoliopsida; Solanales; Solanaceae.
CCAAAUCUUCCCAAUUAAAUCACACAAAGCCAAACUGCCCCAUCCCAGUACGAAAUGCAUAAAUCCGGUUUGUCUUCUAAAUAUACCAAACGACGUUGUUCCUGUGCCUAAUUGUGGCCCUUGAUUUCUGAUGUAACGCACAAGAAGUGUCCUAGGUUAAUUCGUAUAUAGGUGUCCGAAUCACAUACCCCACCCUCAUUCAUCAUCCCAAACCACCCCUAAUUGGCUCUGCGUAACACCAUCACUCGCUGCCGCCGGAAAUCGUCCACGGCGGCGGCCCACCUCCAAAUGCCACCAAAUUAACACCUAUACUCCUCUUCUCUUCCUCUAUCCGAAUCCAUCAACCAUUACCUUCAAAUCCCGGCCGAUAGCAUCGAAUAUCAUAUCGAAAGAUUUUCGGCUAUGACGCAACUUCAUCCAAACUCGCCCAAAUUAACACCCUGGAUCCCUCUUCCCUUCCGCUAUCCAAAUCCAUGUCUAUUUUUUCCUCGAAACUGCCUGGAGCAUCUCAAAUCUUGAAUAAAAAUUUUCACACAAAAACCCUAAUUUCCCAAAACUUUGCCAAAUGGAUAUCAUGCAACCUCCCUGUCUAUUUCAUGGAGAAUUCAGCGGAAAUGAUACUCAAGUCUCACUCGAAAUGGAUUAAGUUCAAAUCUAGGAGCUGACCAGCCUGUAAAUUUCACCAAUGAGUUCCUCUAUUUUGUUUUGCCUUUUCUUUUUCUCUUUUAGUUGUUAAUAAGCAUUAAUCUGAAAAUUAAUAAAGUCUUUUCCAGUUUUUAUUUCGUUCUACUCUGGUCAUAGGUUUAAUUUCUAGUUUAGUUUUUGUUUUUUUUUGUUUAAAUUUGCUAAUUGAAUACAUUUGGGUAUUAAUUUAGUUUAGUUCUACUUGAUUUUGAAUGCCAUGUGUCCUUCAAUAAUGGUUAAGUUUAUUAUAGUUCUAGUUGGGUCCAUUAGUUGUUAGUCUACUCGUAAUUAAUGACUGUGUUAAUUAGUUUAGCAAUUGAAUUGAGUUCUUCUGAUCCAUGAUUUUCUUCAGUUUUAUUUUCUUUUGAGUAAUGGUUAAGAAUUAGUUUAUCUGAUAAGUUCAUAGCUGAAUGAAUUAGAUCUUAGGUUAAUUUAGGCUAACAAGGGGUUUUGGUUAUUUAAACAGGGAAGUAAUUUCAGGGAUAGUCAAGGGCAACUUGGAUAUUUGAAAUUAGAUAAUAGUGAUCUAGUUAAUACUAGAAAUCCCUAGAUAUUUCUAGAUAGGGGUAUAAGUGGAGUUUUAGGAAGUUUGAGGCAUUAACUUGAGUCACGAGUCAACAAAUAAGGGGUUAAAGUUGAAAGUAAAAAAGGACUGAAAAAGAAAACCUAAUAAUCCGAUAAGUCUUCCGUCAAGACCCCAAUCCCGGUCGUGAUGGCGCCCAACACAAUUGCUAGGCAAGCCCGACCAAAAACGCUCACAACUCAACCACACAACCCAUUUCCAAUUAAAUAAGUUAAGUUUCUACAUAAUUCAACUUCGAUCAGUAAGGUAAAUAGGAACAAUACUAAAAAUCAUGAUAAUACCAAUAAAACUCCCAAAGACCUGGGGUCACGAGUCUAGAGCCUCUAAGCAACUGAGUAACAAUAUUCGAAAAUAUAUAUAAGUCUAGAAUGCGGAAAUAAAACUAAAUAACGGGGAGAAGUCGGGUCCUGCGAACGUCAUGCAGCCACCUCGACAACUCUUGAGAAACUCUGAAGCAGCAAAUAGCUCAACUAUGCUCUAAGGCACCUGAAUCUUCACACAUGGUGCAUGGACUAAUAUGAGUACUUCCAACUCAGUAGCAAUAGACAUAUAUAAUGACUGAAAGUAAGAAUUUUUAAAAGACCACAAUGUAAAGGUGAAACUUACCACUUAGCACAUUUAACGAUGAGGCACCAAUAAACCAAUGACAAAUAAACCGAUCGAUAUCAAUGUGUGAAUGCAAUGCAAUGCACAUGACCGUUGCGGUGUACAUCCUGAUCCAUUGGGUACCCGCGCUCACUAUGGGGGUUCAGACUCUGAAGGGAAUCUUACAGCCCAAGCGCAAUGACAUACUAGCAUUCACUGCGGCAUGCAGCCCGGCCCACAAUUAGUCCAAUCAUAUAUGCAUGCAAGCCACACGGGCACAAUCAAGUUUACCAUUUUCGGUUCCAUUUAACAGUUAUAAUAGUUUAAGUAAUUAAAACCUUAGAAGAUUACUAAUCAUUUCUAGAUAGUAUUUAAUUCAGGACUAAUAUCAUGAAAACUUGCUCAAUAUUAUGAAAACAGGGAUAAUAAUCCCUAAGGGAUCCAAAUAGUUGACACGCAGUCCAUAUACGCUCAUAACAAUCGAAGUAGGAUGUUUACUAGCCAAUUUGUAGUCAAUAACACAGCAUAGACAUCAAGCUGACAGACUAAGCCAUAGUCCCGUCCACAAACGAUCCCACACUCACCGUAGAGUACGUGUCUCGCAUCAAUGCAGCGUGACAAUGUUAUAUACCGGGGUUUCAAACCGUCAAGUUAUCAUCUACAUCUAUUACUCACCUCAAGCCGGUGGAAGACUAUGCCUUUCCCUCUUGAAUCGACCUCCUCGCGAAUCGAAUCGAGUCAAAACCACAAUGAAUAAAUUACUAUAUGCUAAAGAAACAUAACCCAAUCAAAAUACUCGAAAAGCACUAAAAAUCACGAAGUUUGCAAAACCCGAGCCCCUGGCCCACUUCUCGAAAAAUUACGAAAGUUACAUCAACGGAUUUCUCGUCUUGCCACGAGUUCGUACAUAUAAAGUUUACCAAAAUCGUAACUCAAAUGCCCUUCCAAAUCACAAAAAUUCAUAUUCAAAAACCAAGCCCUAGUUCUUCACAAUUUCAACCCACUUUCAUGAAUUUGAGUGUUUAUUCUUCGAUAAAAUGUUUUUUCUAAGCCCAAAGGCUCACCUCCAAUCAAUAUCCGUCGAAAACUUUCUUCAAAUAUACCAAAAAGCUCUUGAAGUGGUGUAAAAAUAGAGGAAAUUAUGAAUGGGUCGCAAAUGAAAUAAUCCUUAAAAGCAUUCUGCCAGGCAAACUUCCUCUUACGCGAUCACAUCACAGCCCACGCGAUCGAAGAGAAUUACCUUCCUCCUUUACGCGAUCGCACGCCUUCACACGUGACCGCAGGACACUGCCCCUUGACCCUUUUUUAUCGCAAACAACCUCACGCGAUCGCACUAGCCAAUCCCCCAAACCUAUACGAUCAUAGACCCCUUUACGCGAUCGCAUAGAGAAAAUCAGAGCCCCCUCUUUUCUAUGUGAUAGCAGCCACAGGCUCACGACCGCGAUGAGAAAAUUUUGUUCUACAAUUUCUGCUGCAAUUUUCCAACUCAAAAAUCCCCGUUAGCCAUCCGAAAUCACCCCGAGGCCCUCGGGGCCUCAAUUAGAAGUACAGAUACGACCUUUUACCUUAUUCAAACUUGCUCGAACCAUAAAAACACUAUCGUUUAGAUCAAAAUCUUCAAGUUUCAUCAAAUCAAGGCUUAAGUUAAGCUAAAACUUUCAAAAUUCUCAUUUAAUCAAAAAGUCGACCUAAACACCUUAGAAUCAACUGAAAAUCUGCACAUGGGUACAAAAUCACCUAACGAAGCUAUUGCAACACUCUAAAUUCCAAUCUGACCCUCGGAUCAAAAUCUCACCAAUCCUCUGAAAUUAGCCGAAAUUCAAACUUAGCCAUUGCAAGCCUAAUUCUACACCGAACCUCCAAAUUCAAUUCUGGUUGCAUCCCCUAGGUCAUAAAUCAUCCCCCAAAACUAAUUGAAUCAUUAGAAUUUACAUCCAAGCCCUCUAACUAAAUAGUCAACUUCCAGUUGUCCUUUGCAAACAAACUCCCAUUAAGAGACUAAAUGUCUCAUUUCCGACUAAGCCAAUCCAAUUCUAUCCUACCAACUCAAAUACUGAUAUCGAAUAAUAGUGAAGCAUAAUAUGAGAAAAACAGGCGGUAACUCAUGUGACGACGGGUUGGGUCGUUGCAGCUUCCUUUGUGCCUAUAAAAGGGCAUAACUCUUGCUUCAUUAAGAAGGUUUUGUCAGUCUCAAAUCUCCCCCCCNNNNNNNNNNNNNNNNNNNNNNNNNNNNNNNNNNNNNNNNNNNNNNNNNNNNNNNNNNNNNNNNNNNNNNNNNNNNNNNNNNNNNNNNNNNNNNNNNNNNNNNNNNNNNNNNNNNNNNNNNNNNNNNNNNNNNNNNNNNNNNNNNNNNNNNNNNNNNNNNNNNNNNNNNNNNNNNNNNNNNNNNNNNNNNNNNNNNNNNNNNNNNNNNNNNNNNNNNNNNNNNNNNNNNNNNNNNNNNNNNNNNNNNNNNNNNNNNNNNNNNNNNNNNNNNNNNNNNNNNNNNNNNNNNNNNNNNNNNNNNNNNNNNNNNNNNNNNNNNNNNNNNNNNNNNNNNNNNNNNNNNNNNNNNNNNNNNNNNNNNNNNNNNNNNNNNNNNNNNNNNNNNNNNNNNNNNNNNNNNNNNNNNNNNNNNNNNNNNNNNNNNNNNNNNNNNNNNNNNNNNNNNNNNNNNNNNNNNNNNNNNNNNNNNNNNNNNNNNNNNNNNNNNNNNNNNNNNNNNNNNNNNNNNNNNNNNNNNNNNNNNNNNNNNNNNNNNNNNNNNNNNNNNNNNNNNNNNNNNNNNCCCCCCGCCCUCAAAAAAAAUUUCCCUAAACCCUGCAGAUCUGAAAUUUAAAUUCAGAUAAAAAAAUCCUCUUAGAUCUAGUUCUGUAUUUAGUAAUUGAAGAUCUGCAAUUACUUUGAUUUGGUAUUUGGAAUUAGAUUGGGUCUAUUUGAGUUAUUGUUUGGUUGUUUAUGUUUCUGAUGUAUAUCUGGAUUGCCUGGGUUCAACUUUGAGUUUAUUUGGGUAGAUUCAAGUGGUUUGUGACUAUUUUUUCCUAAUUGUAUCCUACUCCGAACUUUUUCUGGGUUGUCAAACGAAUUUCUGGGUAAAAUUGGUGUAGUUGGUGUUAUUUGAACUACAAUUUUUGGUUGAUUUGUUGUGUACUACUGUUGCUAAUAUCUCCUUCUUCCUAUUCCUUUCCAGUUUCCAGUUACACAUUCGAAACACUAGCUAAUGUAAUUUGUGAAACGAGAUGCUGAAAUGAAAUGCUAUUUGGAAACUUGUGUAUUCGAUUUAUAAUAGUAGAUUAGUCCUUAGAUAAGUCAUGUUUGUUAGUUUUUUCUUUCAGUUUGUGUCUACCUUGUAUAUUAGAUUGAAAUUUAAGCUGUAAUGGGACUGUCUAGUUUUAAACUUGUGAUUGUUGAAUUUAUUCUUAUGAGCGUAUGAAUUCUCUAGUUAGUUUGGUGUUGCUGGUGAAGUAUAGUGUAGAAACAAAAUCAAUGGUUAUGCAUUUUAAUGUGUUAGUUUCAGUGAUUUAAUUUUUGAAAUUAUGAAAUACUUGAGCAUUUAUUUAGUACUGCUGUCUUUCAAAAAAUAAUGGACCGCUUUGGAUUUGAAUUGCUAAUUGGUUCGUGUAAAAUGUUAAUUCAGUCCACGUCUACGGUUGCUUUUACCCUUAAUAAUAUGUAGUAACUUGUCAGUAUUUAAUUAGUAGGAAAGUCUGAUCAUGAAAUUGGAAAUGAAAAAAAUCAAAUCUUAAUAAUGGAAAUAAGUGUGUACUGCAUAGUAUAUUUGCAUCUUUGAAUGAGAAGCAUGCAUAAUGUGUUAGUCGAGGCUCGAUAGCAUGUUUAAAACUGACGGAGAUUUAGCUAAGCUCAGGUCCUUUUCUGAAUAUCCCCGUCUCGUUUGGACAUGGGCCAAAUCCUACGUUGAGCCAGUUUUUGUGUGUGUCAAUUCGUGCUCCGUUUGUUGACCUUGAGCCUAAAGGCACGUUUACCUUUAUAUUAUUGUUUUAGGCUAAUGACAAACUAAUUAUGACUUUUUCCUUAUACUUUAAAGGCAAUUUAAAUAGAAAAUUAUAGAUUACCUUAAGUUUGCCUCUAAAUAAUAUAACGAGACGAGCCUCGCCAUACAAAAUGAAUAAUUGCGGGGCCCUCGAUAAAUGUUUAUACUAAAAUAAUUAGAUUUCGAGAUGGGUCGUUCAGUGAAUUUCACAACAUUCCCUAAAGAAAAUACUACGCUAGUCUGUCUAGGCACGCUUUUAAUAAUAUUAUAUCCAUAAACACGGGUGCGCAUUCAUGUGACCCAAAUCCAAAUCACAACGGAGUCGAAAUGUCUCAACAGUCACGGGUGCAUUAAUGUGCCGUGGUUCGAGACGUGUUUUCACGAUAUUGUAAUUCUUUUAAAAUAUAAUAAUAAAAGCUGUGUAAAUUUUUAAAAGCACAGAAGUUAAAACUUAUAUUAAAAUCAAUUAUUUAGCCAUUUACAAUAAUUUAAGCGACCGUACUAGAAUCACGGGAUCCGGGGUUGCCUAAUGUGAUGACCCAAAGGGUCAUCACCUAAUUCUCCCUUUUAUCGUGCUUCUGAGGCCUUGAAAACCUCUUAUUUGGUUGGCUCGAUUUGCGUGCAUAGUCCGGGAGCUAAGCCAGAAAGUGGUUACGUGGAAAUAUAUGAAUUUUUGUUAAAAAACUAUGAAUUUUGAGAAUAAUAUAGAUAUAGUUGACUUUGGUCAACAUUUCGGGUAAACGGACCCAGACCCGGACCCGUGAGGUGGCAUUUUCGGAGGGUCCGUAGAAAAAUAUGGGACCCUGACGUAUUUCCGGAAUAAAAAUACGAAGUCCUAGGUUCGAGUACAGAAUUUUUGAAACAGAUUUUUUAUCUGAAAAUGAUAUGAAAAAUUGAAAUGAAAAUGAGUUAGAAAAGUGAUGGUAUCAGGCUCAUAUUUUGGUUCUGACGCUCUAUAUAGGUUUUAAAUGAGUGUUAAGUUCUAUUUGUAAAGUUUAGUUUAAUACGGACGUCAUUUGACCUGUUUCUGACUUGAAAAUGAGAAAUAAGAGUUUUAUGGAAAGUUGGAAGAAAUCAUGUGUUUUGAGCUUUGAUUCUAUGUAAAUGAUGUUAUUUUGGCGAUUUGAUUGCAAAGUAAGUCUGUAGGAUGUUUUUGGGGUUUUGUGCAUGUUAGGGUUGGAGCCCCGAGGGCUCGGGUGAGUUUUGAUAGGCCGCGAGUUCAUUUUUGCAUGUUUGAAAUCUCUAGUGUGCCUAACCUGUAGGCUUCGCAAUUGCAAAGCCAGCCUCGCAAUUGCGUCAUUUUCCCUGAUGCAGCAGGCUUCAUAAAAGCGAAGAAAACAUCGCAUAUGUGAUAUCUGCAUAUUAGCCCAGUCUUCGAAAAUGUGAAGACUUACUCGCAAAUGCGAUUGCCCCAGCCUAAGCCAUGAGUUGGCAAAUGCGAACAUUUCCUCACAAAUGUGAGUUUCGCCAAAUUCUGCCUUGUUCGCAAUUGCAACAUCCGACCCUUCUUAUGCAUAGUUUGCAAUCGCGAACACGUUCUCGCAAAUUCGAGAUCUGCACCUGCACAUUUUUCACUUGGCCAAUUUUGAAGCUACUUUUCAUAUUUUACAAACCCAAACAUCCAUUGGCGAUUUUCUCUCAACUCUCUCUUUUCCAAAUCAAUUGUAAGUCAACUUUUACUCAAUUUCUUCAAUCUUUAACAUCUUUUAUCAUGAUUUCAUCUUAAAAUCAAAGCUUUCAAUAGGUUUACUCAAUUUCUUCAAUCUUUAACAUCUUUUAUCAUGAUUUUACCUUAAAAUCAAAGCUUUCAACGAGUAAAAAUGGGGAUUUGGGAUAGAACCUAGGUUUUCUCAAAAUUGGGGAUUUGAACCUCAAUUUAAGGCCGAUUUCAAAACAAAAAAAAUAUAUAUAUAUAUAUGAACUCGUGGGGGAAUGGGUAACCCGAUUUUGGUUCAAACCUCGGGUUUUCAGCACAUGGGUUCGGGGGAGUUUUGGGAAAUUUUGGUCAAAACUUUGAGAAAUUCAUUCUUAUGCAUUUAAAUUGAUUUAACUAGUAUUUUAUGAUACAUUUGAGUAAAUUAUGAUUAGAUUCCACGAGUUGUAUGGCGAAUUCGAAGGGUAAAGCUAUCCUACAGACGUGAGUUCAAUUUGGAGCUUUCGAGGUAAGUGUUUGAUCUAACUUUGGCUUGAGGGAAUAAGAUUAGAGUUUUCGAUUGAUAAUUGCUAAAUGAUCUAGUACGGUGUAUAGGCAUGGUGAAGAAUAUCUAUACACUGGUGUCUAGCAUGACCGUGAGUCGUAGUUUCUUUUAAAUUCGAAUGAUGUGAAACAACUGAGUUAAUUACUUGCUAAAUAAAUUAUGAAGUGAUAGUUGAGGAGCAAACGAGGUAAAGAAGAAAGUUUGGUAUUUUUCCCUUGCCGAGACUUAUUAUUGAUUCGUUUUCCCUUGCUGGGACUUAUUGUUGAUUUUUUCUCCCUUGCCGGGAUAUUUGGCUGUUAGUUGUACCCUUCCUGGGUUUAACUGUUAUAUUGUCGAUCUUCCCAAAUGGGACCUCCCUUGGAGAGAUUAUUAGAGAUAAUCAAUUAUAAUAUGGGAUCGUGUGGCACGCGACCACUAAUGAAUUAUAAUACGUGAUUGUAUGGCACGCCGACCAUAACUUAUUUGGAUCUGUUCGUUAUUUUAUUAGAGAUAAUCAAUUAUAAUAUGGGAUCGUGUGGUACGCCGACCACUUAUGAAUUAUAAUACGGGAUCCUGUGGCAUGCCAGCCACAACUUAAAUUGAUGAUCGUUAUUGGCCUGAGAUGUCUGUGACAUUGUGCACAGAGAAAAUGGGAUUGUUUGGCGCGCCAUCCACUUAUAUACUACAUUAUGCGAUCAUGUGGCGCGUCGUCCACUGUAGAUAUGUGUGUCAUGAAACCCAAAAUAGAUCUGCUGUUGUUUCUGAUGUUCUAUUUUCAUCUAGUACUCCACCAUAGCAUGUCCCCUCCAAGCUUGUAUUAUUUUGUUAUGUUUCUUUCUCGUACUUCUAAAUCAUAUUGCACUGGUCGAUUAAGGUAGGUCCUGUCCAGCCUCGUCACUACUUCCCCGGGGUUAGGCCAGGCACCUACCAGCACAUGGGGUCAAUUGUGCUGAUGCUACACUUCUAUGCCUUUUGUGCACAUGUCAGGAGAUAGCUUACGGACCGCAGCGGUAUAUUGAGAGCGUGCCUUCAGUCAAGAGGCUCCUAGGUAGUUCGCUGGCGUUCGCGGGCCCUGAGUCUCUUCCAUUUCUUUUCAGUUUGUUAAUUGUAUCGAGACAGACUCUUGUGUAAUUUCUUCCAGACUGAUGUUUUUGGUAUUCCUUAGUAGUCCGUGAGUGGUGACAUCAGAUACUGGGUAGUGACUUGAUACCAACUUCUGUACUUGAAUAUUGUUUUCGUUAAAAGUCUUUCGCGUAUUUAUAAUUAUCUGUUUCAGUUUGUUAUAUUGUUUAGAUUAAAACUUGUGAAGUAUUUAAAAGGGUUGGCUUGCCUAGCUCCAAUAGUAGGCGCCAUCACAACCCCGAUGGUGGUAAAUUCGGGUCGUGACAAGUUGGUAUCAGAGCACUAGGUUGUUGUGGUCUCACAACUCAUGCAAAAGUUCGGUAGAGUCUGAGGGAUCGGUAUGGAGACGUCUGUAUUUAUCCUUCAGAAGCUACAGAGAUAGGAAAAUUUCCACUUUUUUCAUUCUUGUCGUGCAAUUCUAUUUCUCAAAUAUUGAUUGUCGUUCUACUCUGUUCCUUCAUAGAUGGCGAGAACACGUGCGUCUUCUUCUACUGCGCAGCAGCCCGAGUUCCCAGCACCAGCUCCCGCGAGAGGCAGCGGCCGAGGCCGUGGUAGGGGUAGGGCUCAACACUUCUAGAGGUGGAACCUCAUAUUGACUUUGAUGAUGAGGUUCCAGCCUCAACAACUCUAGUGGGCCUAGCUCAGGUUCUAGGAAAGGUUAUGUUAUCCCUGGAUCUCUAGGAUGCUCUUGUCCGUAUAGCAGGAUUUAUGGACAGUGUCACUAGAGCGGGUUUGCUGCCAGUAGUACCAACCACUUCUCAGGCUGGAGGAGGGGUACAGACUCCUGCUACGCGUACUCCAGAUUAGGUAGCUCCCCAGACUCAGGUUCUAGUGGUUCAGCCUGCAGUGGCAGCUCAGACAGGUAUUACAGCUCAGGCCGGUGAUGGAGCGGCCAUGUCUUCGGAUGCUUUGUGGAGACUUGAGCGGAUCUCCAAGCUUUUCACCACCACCUUAAGCAGUUCUUCUACAGAGGACCCCCAGGACUUCAUAUGCAGCAGUCGUGAGGUCCUUCGGACCAUGGGUAUUUGAGACACCAAUGGGGUUGACUUCGCAACUUUUCGCCUCGGAGGAUCCGCCGAGACUUGGUGGAGAGAUUCAUGUUUAGGCAGGUCAGCAGGGUCGACAUCAUUGACCUGGUAUCCGUUUUCCGAGCUAUUUCUAGGUAAGUAUCUCCCAGUUACUUAGAGGGAUUUCCUUCGCAAGCAGUUUGAGCCCCUCCAGCACGGCCUUAUGUCAGUUACAUAGUAUAAGACUCGAUUUAUUGAUCUCGCACAUCAUGCUAUUAUGAUACUCCCCACUGAGAGAGAAAAGGUUAGGAGAUUUGUUGAUGGGACGGUUCAGCCGAUCCGUGUUCAUAUGUCCAUGAGCGUCGGGAGUGAGAUUAUAUUUCAAGAGGCGGCGGAUGGCGCCCGCAAAAUAGAGAUGGCACUUUCUCAGGGAGGUUGUUAGGGGUCUGAUAAGAGACCUCGACAUUUUGGUAUGUUCAGUGCUACCUCAUAUGAAGGUAGAGAUUGACAUGACAAAGGCCAUCCCCCAAGGCCCUUCCAGCCAGCCCUCCGAGUUUCUCAUGGUACUCCAGGCGGUCGGAGUUUUCAGUCGCACUAUUCUGCCCAGUUCAGUCCACCAUCGGAGCCUAUCAAUGCACAACCGCUUCAAUAUUCUCAGCAGCUGAGGGCUUGCUUUACUUGCGGUGACUUGAGGGACAUUGCAAAGUAUGCCCUCGAGCUUCCAGCAGUUCACAGCAGCAGAGUCCUCGUCCCAUGAUUCAGGCGGCAGGUGAUCCACCGGCCGCCCAACCAACUAGAGCCGGGGGUACAGGCCAUAGAGGUUGAGGUAGGGGCAUAGUGGUGGAGCUCAGUCUUCCAGCGGCAGGGGUCAACCCGCAGCAGAUCAUCCUAGAGACACAGUUCAGAGAGGUGGGGGCCAGCCCCGUUGUUACGCUUUUCAGGCCAGGUCAGAGGCCGAGUCAUUAGAUACUGUGUUACUUGACCCGGAAUCUAUGUAUUCUUAUGUGUUGUCCUAUUUUUCACACUAUUUGAUCAUGCCUUGUGAGGCUUUGGGUUUUCUGUAUAUGUGUCUGUGCCCGUGAACGAUACUAUAGUGGUGGGUCGGGUGCAUCUUUCAUGUGGUAGUAUUUGUGGGUUUUGAGACCGGUGUCAACUUUUAGCUCUUAGAUAUGGUGGACUUUGACGUUAUAUUGGGGAUGGAUUAGUUGUCCCCGUUCCAUGAUAUUUUGGAUUUUCCCACCAAAACCGUGGCCUUGGCUUUAUCAGAUUUUCCACAUUUAAAAUGAAGAGGGAUUUUAAAUCAUUCGACCCGCAACGUGAUUUUGUAUGUGAAGGCUCGAUGCAUGGUUACGAAAGGGUGUUUAGCUCAAUUGGCGUAUGAUCCCGACUCUAGCGCAAAGGUUCCUCCCAUAGGUUCUGUUCCUAUUGUUCGGGAGUUUCCCCGAUGUUUUCCCUUCAGACAUGCAGGGUAUGUCGCCUAAUAUGGAUAUCGAUUUUUGUAUUGAUCUGGCACACGGCGCUCAGCCUAUUUCCAUUUCAACGUAUCGCAUGGCCCCGCCAGAGUUGAAAGAGUUAAAGGAGCAUUUUUAGGAUUUUCUUGAUAAAGGUUUCAUUCAGCCUAGAGUUUUUCAUUAGAGCGCACCAAUGUUAUUGCGAAGGAGAAGGACGGUUUGAUGAGUAUGUGCAUUGAUUAUCGGCAAUUUAACAAAGUGACGAGUAUGAACAAGUAUCCACUACCGAGGAUUUAGGAUGUGGUUCGAUCAGCUUCAAAGCACCAAGGUAUUUUUCAAGGAUAGAUUUGGAAUCUGGUUACCAUCAGUUGAGAAUUAGGGCAUUCGAUGUCCUUAAGAUAGUUUUCGCACACGAUUAUGGCAUUAUGAGUUCUUGGUCAUGUCAUUUGUAUUUACCAAUGCCUCGGCAGCAUUCAUGGAGUUGAUGAACCGAGUGUUCAGGUCCUACUUGAAUUUGUUUGCGAUUGUGUUCAUUGACGACAUUUUUCUAUACCCCCACGGUCAGGAGGAGCAUGAGCAGCACCUCAGAGUGGCUCUGGUAACUACCGAUGUUUCUUAGGGUUAUCUGGUAACUACCGAUGUUUCAUGGAGGGAUUUUCAUCCAUUGCAGCCCUGAUGACUAAAAUGACCCAGAAGGGUUCCCAAUUCAGGUGGUCAGAUGAGUGUGAGGUAAGCUUUCAGAAGCUCAAGACAGCUCUGACUACGGCACUGAUAUUCGUUUUGCCCAUGGGAUCGGGAUGUUAUAGUGUUUAUUGUGAUGCUUCCCAGGAUGGGCUUGCGCAACGUUGAUGGAGAAUGGCAUGGUCAUAGCAUAUGCUUUGAGGAAAUUAAAGAUCCACAAGAAGAAUUAUCCAGUUCAUGACCUAGAGUUGGCAGCCAUUAUUCACGCCUUGAAGAUCUGGAGACAUUAUUUAUAUGGUGUGACAGUGAGGUGUACAUAGAUCACAAGAGCCUUCAUUACUUGUUCAAGCAGAAAGAGUUGAAAUUGAGAAAGCAGAUGUGGUUGGAGUUGUUGAAAGACUAUGAUGUCUCUAUCUUAUACCACCCGGGGAAGGCCAAUGUGAUGGCAGAUAAAUUGAGUUGGAAGUCUGCCAGCAUGGGUAGUCUUGCCUAUAUUCCGGUCAGUCACAGUCCGCUUGACCUGGAUGUUCAAGCCUUGUUCAAUUGAUUUGUGAUAGUGGAUAUUUCUGAGCCUAGCAGGGUGUUGGUUUGCACGGUUUCUCGUUCGUCAUUGAUGGAGAGCAUUCGGGAGCAGCAGUUUGAUGAUCCUCAUUUAUAUGUCCUGAGAAACACGGUAUAGUGGGGAGUUGCCAAGGAAUGACCUUGGGAGAUAAUGGUGUAUUGAGAUUGCAGGGGCGAGUUUGUGUGCCAAAUGUUGAUGGUAUUCGGGAGUCGAUCUUAGUGGGGGCCCACAGUUCUCGGUAUUCUAUCCACCCGGGCGCUGGGAAGAUGUACCAGGGUUUGAGACAGCAUUGAUGGUGGCGCAGAAUUAAGAAUGACAUUGUUACAUAUGUGGCUCGUGUCUGAAUUAUCAGCAGGUUAAGUACGAGCAUCAGAGGCCCGAUGGGUUAUUUCAGUGGAUUGAGCUUCCCGAGUGGAAGUGGGAGAGAAUCACCAUGGAUUUUGUUACUGGCUUUUCGAUGACUCGGAAGAAGUUUGAUGCUAUAUGAGUUAUUGUUGAUAGGCUGACCAACUCAGCAUUUUAUUCUAGUUGCCACCACCUAUUCAUCCAAGAGAGAUGCUGAGAUUUAUAUAAGAGAGAUCGUUCGCCUUCAUGGGGUGCCCAUAUCCAUUAUCUCAGACCUGGGUCCCCAGUUUACCUCGCAUUUCUAAAGAGCCGUUCAGUAUGAGUUGGGCACCCAGAUUCAGUUGAGUACAUCAUUUUACCCCCAGAUGGACAGUCAGUCCGAGAGCGCUAUUCAGAUUCUUGAGGAUAUGCUCCAAGCUUCCGUUGUUGAUAUUGGAGGCUCGUGGGACCAGUUCUUUCCUUUAGCAGAGUUUUCCAACAACAAUAGCUACCCCUCCAGCGUUCAGAUGGCUCCGUAUGAGGCAUUGUAUGGUAGGCUAUGUCGGUCCCUAGUCGGAUGGCUUGGGCCGGGAGAGGCUCGUUUAUUGGGUACAGAUCUAGUACAGGAGGCCUAGGAUAAGUUCAAGAUCAUUCGGGACAGAUUUCGGUCAGCUCAGUCUAAGCAGAAGAGUUAUCAGAUCGUAAGGUCAGGGAUAUUGCUUCAUGGUUGGUGAGAGAGUACUCCUCCGGGUAUCGCCUAUGAAGGGCCAGACGAGAUUCGGAAAGAAGGGAAAGCUUAGACCUAGGUUCAUUGGCCCAUUUGAGAUUCUCUAUCGCGUGGGGGAGGUGGCUUAUAGACUUUCCGUGCUGCCUAGCUUGUCAAUCGUGCAUCAUGUUUUUCACGUAUCCAUGCUUCGGAAGUAUCACGGCGACCCCGCCCACAUGUUAGAUUUCAGUACAGUCCAAUUGGAAUAGGAUCUGUCAUAUGAGGAGGAGCCAGUGAAUAUUUUAGACCGGCAGGUUCGACAGUUGAGGUCGAGGGGUUUUCCUUCAGUGCGUGUUCAGUGUAGAGGUCAGCCUCCUAAGGCGUCGACCUAGGAGUCCCAGUCUUAUAUGCGGAUCUGUUAUCCCCACCUAUUCCCCGACUCUGAUACUUGUUUCUUUUAUCCGUUCGAGGACAAAUGGUUGUUUUAAAGGUAGAGUAUGUGACAAUCCAAAGGGUUAUAAUCAUAAUUCUCCCUUUCACCGUGCUUUCGAGGCCUUGAAAACCUCUUAUUUGGUCUCCUCGAUUUGCGUUCGCAUUCCGAGCACGAAUCCAAAAAGUCAUUACGUGGAAAUAUAUGAAUUCUGUGUUAAAAACUAUGAACAUUGAUAAUAAUAUUGAUAUAGUAGACUUUGGUCAAUAUUUUGAGUAAACGGACCUAGACCGGUGAGGUGACGGCCCCGGAGGGUCCGUAGAAAAAUAUGGGACCCGGGCGUAUUCCCGGAAUCGAAAUCCGAGUACGGAAUUUUUCAAAAAAAUUGUUUAUCUAUAAAUGAUAUGAAUAAUUGAAAUGAAAUGAGUUAGAAGUGAUGGUAUCGGGCUUGUAUUUUGGUUCUGAUGCCCGGUACAAGUCUUAAAUGAACGUUAAGAGCUAUUUGUAAAGUUUGGUUGAAAACGAAUAUCAUUGACAUGUUUCAGAAUUAAAAAUGAGAAAUAAUAGAUUAAUGGAAAAUUGGAAGAAAUCAUGUGUUUUGAGGCUGAUUCUAUGUAAAUGAUGUUAUUUUUGCGAUUUGAUUGCACGAGUAAGUCUAUAGGGUGUUUUGGGGUUAUGUGCAUGUAUAGGUUGGAGCCCCAAGGGCUCGGGUGAGUUUGGAUAGGCCGCGAGUUCAUUUUUGCAUGUUGGAAAAUCUCUGGUGUGCCUGACCUGCAGGCUUCGCACUUGCGACAUUCCCCCUGAUGCAGCAGGCUUGGCAAAAGUGAAGAAAACAUCGCAAAUGCGAUGUCUACAUAUUAGCCAAGUCUUCGCAAAUGUGAGGACUUACUUGCAAAUACGAUUGCCCCAGCCUAAGCCAUGAGUUCGCAAAUGCAAACAUUUCCUUGCAAAUGCGAGUGCCGCCAAUUCUGCCUUGUUCGCAAUUGCAAACAUUUCUUCGCAAUUGUGACAUCCACUCUUCUUCUACCUAGUUUCCAAUUGCAAACACAUUCUCGCAAAUGCGAGAUCUGCACCUACAUAUUUUACACUUGGCCGAUUUUAUAUCUCACUUUUCAUAUUUUCAAAACCCAAACUUCUAUUGGCGAUUUUCUCUAAACUCUCUCUUUCCCAAAUCAAUUGUAAGUCAGCAUUUACUCAAUUUCUUCAAUCAUUAACAUCUUUUAUCAUGAUUUCAUCUUAAAAUCAAAGCUUUCAAUGGGUAAAAAUGGGGAUUUGGGAUUGAACCUAGUUUUUCUCAAAUUGGGAAUUUGGACCUCGUGGGGAAAUGGGUAACCCGAUUUUGGUUCGAACCUCAGGUUUUGACCACAUGGGCUCGGUGGCGUUUUGGGAAAUUUUGAGCAAAAAUUUGGGAAAUUCAUUCUCAUGCAUUCAAAUUUAUUUAACUAGCAUUUGUUGAUUUAUUAGAGUAAAAUUAUUAUUAGAUUCGACCAGUUGUGUGGGGAAUUCGAGGGUAAAGCUAUCCUACAGAUGUGAGUUGAGUUUGGAGCUUUGGAGGUAAGUCUUUGAUCUAACUUUGGUUUGAGGGAAUAGGAUUAUAGUGUUUGAUUGCUAAAUCUAAAUGAUCGAGUACGGUGUAUAGGCAUGGUGACGAGUAUCUAUACACCGGUAUCUAGCAUGACUGUGAGUCGUAGUUGCUUUUAAACUCAAAAGAUGAGGAAAAACUGAGUUAAUUACUCGCUAAAUAAAUUAUGAAGUGAUAGUUGAGGAGCAAAUGAGUCACAGAAGGAAGUGUGGUAUUUUUCCCUUACCGAGACUUAUUGUUGAUUCGUUUCCCCUUGCUGGGACUUAUUGUUUAUUAGUUCUCCCUUGCCGGGAUAUUUGGGCUGUUAGCUAUACCCUUGCUCGGUUUAACUGUUAUAUUGUCGAUCUUCCCUAACGGGACCUCCCUUGGAGAGAUUAUUAGAGAUAAUCAAUUAUAAUAUUGGAUCAUGUGGAACGCCGACAACUUAUGAAUUAUAACACGGGAUUGUCUAGCAUGUCGACCACAACUUAUAUUGAUGAUUGUUAUUGGCCUAAGAUGACGGUGACAUUGCGCAUGGAGAAAAUGGGAUCGUGUGGCGCGCCGUCCACUUAUAUACCACAUUAUGGGAUCAUGUGGCGCGCAUUCCACUUAUUUACUACACUAUGGGAUCGUGUGGCACGACGUCCACUUAGAUUAUACAAUAUAGGAUCGUGUGGCGCGCCGUCCACAGUAGAUAUAUGUGCCAUGAAACCCAGAAUAGAUAUGCUAUUGUUUUUGAUGUUCUAUUUUCAUAUAGUAUUCCCUUAUAGCAUAUCACCUCUUAGCUUUAUUUGUAUUAUUUUGUUAUUGUUUCUUUCUCGUACUUGUAUAUCAUAUUGCACAUGUGGUAGGUCCUGUAUAGCCUCGUCACUACAUUGCCGGGGUUAGGCCAUGCACUUACCAGCACAUGGGGUCGGUUGUGCUGACGCUACACUUCUGAGCCUUUUGUGCACAGGUCACGAGACAGCUUACGGACCGCAGUAGUAGAUUGGUAGUGUGCCUUCAGUCCAGAGGCUCCUAGGUAGUUCGCUGGCAUUCGUGGGCCCCGAGUCUCUUCCAUUUCAUUUCAGUUUGUUAAUUUGUAUCGAGAUAGACUCUUGUGUAAUUUCUUUCAGACUGAUGCUUGUACUAUUCCUUAGUAGUCCGUGAGUAGUGACACCAGAUACUGGGUAGAGACUUGUUACAAAUUUCUGCACUUUACUAUUAUUUUCGUUAAAAGUGUUCCGCAUAUUUCUAAUUAUUUAUUUCAGUUUAUUAUAUUGUUUAGAUUAAAGCUUGUGAAGUAAUUAAAAAGGUUGGCUUGCCUAGCUCCGAUAGUAGGCGUCAUCACGACCCCGGUGGUGGGAAAUUUCGGUCGUGAUACCUAACACCUUUCCUCGGGUCAACAGAAUUCCUUACCUUGAAAAUCUGGUUCACAGACUCCAAUUGGGAAGCUAAAACUUUUCCUCGGUUUGGGAUUCAAGAUAAAUCGGUGACUUGGGACACCAAAAGCCAAACCUUCUCCAAGUGGCGACCCUAAAUUUAUAAUCCCAAUUGGAAUAUGUCACAUUAAAUGAAAAAACUUCCUCAUACAUUUAUCCUUUGGGGUAGAUGUAAAAAAGAGAUGUUACAUCUCUGGCAACUCUGCUGGGGAAACAAACCCAGAACUUCGGUUCAGGUUUAAGAAUUAGAGCUUAGAAUAAUUGUUGUGUUUGGCUUUAUCUAAUUUUCCUACAUAGUUCAUCCUAAAUGUGCUAAGUGCUUUACCACUUUGAUAUUAUCUAUACUGUAUAUAAACUGUGCUGAAUCCCUUCUUUUCUCACCCCUGAGGAUGUGCUUACUGGUUCAGACUCCCUAUUCUGUUAUUGUCAUACCUUAAUAUAAGAAAGAGGCCGGACAAGUUACUAAGCUGGAUCCCUAGUAGGAACGCUUAUUUGUAUCAUGUUGCAUUUGACUUAGGUGACUCGACACAGGGGUUGGGUCCGUCUAGGACUAGCAACCUAUACUGAAAAAGACCAUCCCAAUGCAUCUUAUUUGUUUUCCGUGCAUUUAUUUGUUUCGGGACUGCAUGCUAGCCGACUUCAUAUAUCGGGAAUAUUGCAAAAUUGAGAAAAAGAGAAAAGGAGGGAAAUAAUAGUGUAGAGAGUUAAUUGCCUAUUUUAGAAAAAAAAAAAACCAAUGCCCAAAUACUGUUGAAACCAUACCGAAAUUUUGAAAAUGAAAAAGAAAAAUAUUUUAUUUUAAAAUAGUUUGUUCUACUCAAGACUGCAAAAAAAGUCCUUAUUUUUUAAUAGGCUGUUUUAUUGUUUGUUGAAAAGAAAAAGAAAAGAGUCUUAUUUUAAAAAAUAGUUAAUUUUCUCUUCCCUAACUAUGCUGGUUUGAUUCUCACCAGACGUGAAAUACGUAGGCAACCCUCACCGGGUCCAACCUCUCCUUUGCACAAAUAGCCAAAAAAGCAAAAUUUUUUAAUUUCAUCAUGAAUAAGUCGGGUGACUCCAUUUUUGUCAAAAAUAAGCCGAAUGUCCCUAAUAGGGUGGUGUCAGAAGGCCAUUUUUGCAAGAACAGCCACCUUGCAUCAUUUUCAACGGUUAGCAGGAACAUCCUUAAAAUCUUCUUUACGAAGAACUGAAAGGCUGCAUCCGCAAAAUCGGCUUUUUGAUUUAAAUUGGAAAUUUGAACAAAAUAGUAUCGCUUCUUUUCAUUUAGGUCAAAAUAAGUGAUUAAAUCACCUUACUAAAUGUGCAGGAUGAGCACGACUCAAAAUGAACCUUUCUCAAUCAUGACUAAACUCCAUCUGGAGUUGUGUCUAUGGUGGGAUGAUUUGGGUUGAGCACGAUUCAAAGGGAACCUUUCUCAAUCAUGACUAAAAUUCCUCUAGACUUGCGUCUAUGGUGGGAUGAUUUGGGUGAAGAAGGAAAAGACGAGGUCAAUAAGUAUUUGAAAGGGCUUGCUUGUUUGUUAGAGAUCGUUCCUUGGGGAGACCUCACAAAGCAUUGAUCACAUGUUGAAACCCGGCACAUAAUGUGUUCCAUUUUUCGCACUUUAAACUCACUCCGAUCCAAAAGGAAAUAAUCGGAUACAUAAGAAGUGCUGAGGUUCCGUUAAGGCACAAAUACUUGAUUACCCCGAGAAUUGUCGGUGUGCACCGGUUUUUAAACACAUUUAAGAUAUCUAAGACAAUCCAUAACCUUGAUUUGGAAAAACAAUUUUGUACUCCGCACUUUAUAUUUGACAUGUAUGGUCAUAUCGAUUAGUUCAACAAUCCGGGCAACUAUUUAUGCAGCAAAAGUAGCUGCCAAAAAUAUGUUGAGCAUAGACGGGUGGCUUUUAUGAUAACCUUUUUGGGCCUUUUGGUGUUCCCAAGGAAAGACAGAAAUAUUGAAAUAAAAAUAGAUGGGUCGUCAGUACUUUUCUCACUUAAGAUGAAUGCACUCUUGCGCCUAUGAUUGUAUCUAAUAUCUUCCGAGCUCUCACAAUCUGCAGAGCCGGAGAAGACUUUUUGGAGGGGUGUCACUUGUUGUUGCAGAUGUGAAUAACCAAACACCUCUGUCAUCGUGACCAGUUCCUGAGUUAUGGUUCAUACGAGAAAACCUUCAUAGAGGAGUUCUACACAAGAAUUAAUGGGGUCAAUUUACCUUAAGGGUUACGGCAUAGAACUCAUACUUUCAGACCCUCACUACUAGUCAAAUACAAUGGACAUUUGGAUAGUUGCCUGUCGACGAAGUCAUAUAUGCCAGCAGCUAGGCCCAACUAUCUCUUGAUGGGACUUAGGAGCAUUCAGCCCUAUGCUCCAUAUCGGGUUUUGAGGCAACUCGGGAGACGUCAAGUGCUACCAAAUGACGACGAUCUUAGUUUCCAGGUGCUCGAGAUUGGUCCUGAUGGACAAGAUAGUGAAGCAAAUGUCCGUCAAUUCUGGAGUGAAUGUCAAUAUUUGGCAGUGAACACCUAUGUGAGGGGCCGAUCUAGAGGAGAAGUUUUGCCCGAAUAUCAUGGUUGGUACCGCAGGGAAAUUGAAUUCGAAAAUCCAUCACCUACAGGACUUUACCGAGUCAUCGCAGGAACAUUGGGGUUGGUUAGAAAAGGAAAGGGAAUACAAGCACAAGGUAGGAAAAUCGGAGAAGCAUGUCCAACACUUAAAUUUGAUAACAGUGUGCAAUAUUCAGCUGACGAGGGGGAUAAAAAGAAGCUAGCUAAAGAAAAUGAGGCCAUGAGAGCCCAAAUUCGACAGAUGAGGAUAGAUGGUGACAAACAACAAAGGAGUUGGUCGGAUGAGCGGUUGAUAUAGGGGUUGAAAGAGGAAAGCAUUGAGUGUCGGUACAAGCUGAAGAAAUUUGAGAGUAACAUAGCGGUACUCCGGGCAUAGUGGUAAAAAAGAAAAGAAGAGCGCACCUAUUACUUGCAGUAAUUGAAGAAGGAUUAUGAAAAAAUCAUUGCCAAUCUGAAAAGAAAGGUGACCACUCUUGAGGAUAAAGAAGCUAAGAAAGCCAAAGAUUUUGAAACCGAAAGAGGACACAACUAUGACUUACUGACCCGAAUGGAAGUAGAAAUACAGUAGCUGCAGAAUCAGCAUCUUCAUGAUUCUCAGGUUUUCGAAGCCCGUAAUAAUCAAAUAAGGCGCCUGCUCAUAGAAAAAGGUCGAACGAGGGACACGAUUGAGAUCAUUGCCCAUGCCAUCAUUAAGAGAUGUCGAAUGUGUGAAGACAUGACCUGCACUACCUUCUUUUCGGCAGUAAUGAUUUUUUUCAAUCGGACAAUGUAUGAGCUGAAGCAACUUGAAAGGGAUCUUGCACCUAAGCCCGCGGCGAAGCCGAACAAUGCCCCGCAGGCACCCACUUUUGAAGCAUUAAGGUAUUCAUAGCUCAAUCUGUAUUUUUUGUUUUUAGAGUCUAGGUUCUGUCUGUUUUCUUUUUGCAUCAGAGUAUGUCGGAGUCCCUAUUUCGGAAGAUAGCCCACUCUCGAGCGUCCCAGCCUUAGAGUCUGCAGCGGCCGAAGAAACAGAAUGUUAUGUUUGAGAGUAAUUGAGAUGUGGGAUGCAUGGACAAACAUAAAAGAACCCCUGAGUGUCAUCCCUGGAUUUCCUGAGUUGUUCCCAAGACCAACGGGUACCUCUAACAUUCCCGUCAGUGACCCAACAUCCUAGCCAACUAUAUCUUCUCAUUUUAUGGGAGCAAGUUCUUAGGUUCACCUCAAAGUAUUCAUACCUGGGAUAGCUCCUAACAUCUUCACUGCUCUACCAUCCUCUGCUACAACACAGCCCGCAAUCGUAAGACCGGCAUUUGAUCUAUCGGCCUUCACUUAUCAUACUCCUACUUACCAACCAGACCCAUCUCAGUACCCUACAUAUUCUUAUCCUCAGCCACCACCAUAUCAUUUCACACCAGAAAAAGAUAAAACUCCUAAUGCUUCUACACAAGAGGAGAUGGCAAAAAGAAUGAGUAGUAUUGAGCAGAGUUUAAAGAAUAUGAAAGGGUUGAGUGGGCAAAAAAAGUUUCUUAUACAGAUAUGUGCAUGUUCCCUCAUGUGCAUCUACCCUCAGGGUUGAAAACACCAAAAUUUGAAAAGUAUGAUGGGCAUAGAUCCCAUCGCUCACUUGAAAAAGUAUUGUAAUCAGCUAUGUGGGGCGGGCGAAAAAGAAGAGUUGUUGAUGGCUUACUUCGGAGAGAGCAUAGUGGGCAUUUCUUAAGAAUGGUAUAUGGACCAAGAUGUCUACCAAAGGUACAUCUGGGAUGAUCUUUCUAGAGACUUUGUAAGGCAAUUUUAAUAUAACAUUGAUAUUGCGCCAGAUCGGAAUUCUUUGACAAACUUGAAGAAGAAAUCCUCGGAAAGUUUCAGAGAAUAUGCUUUUAAAUGGCGUGAACGAGCAUCGAGAGUGAAACGUCCCAUGGAUGAAAUAGAAAUGGUUAUUUUUUUCCUUCAGGCCUAAGAACCCGAUUACUUCCAAAACAUGAUGUCGGACAUGGGUAAACCAUUUGCAGAGGCCAUCAAAAUCGGGGAGAUGGUAGAGAAAGGUUUGAAAACGGGAAGAAUUUUGAGUUAGUCAGCCAUCUGGGCAACCUCCCAAGACAUCCAAGGUGGGUCUGGAGGAAUGGCCAAAGGUAAGAAGCAAGAGGAAACGGUUAUGGCAGCAUUAAGAGGAGAAGAUACCGGGCUCCUAGGCCUUUGAUUUCCGAAAGAACCCCUCAACACUAUUAUCCUUAUGCCGAAAUGGCUUAUGCUCCCCCACCUUACGCAGUCAUGAAUGCUCAACCUUUCAUCCGGCCACAACCAUAGGCCAAUAUAAAUCAACCUACAUUCCAAAGAAACCAACCUCCUCACCAGAAUUACUAUAAUCCUCGUCCUCCACAGAAUAAUUUUCCUCCUCAUGAGCCGCCCAGGAAACAAACCUUCACACCCAUUGGUGAACCAUACUCUGAUCUAUUCCCUAAGCUUGUCUAAAUGGUCUUAUUGCAGCCAGUUCCUCAAAAAAGACAAAAUCUAUAAUCGCCUGCUUAAAAAGCCGGUGUCAGGUGUGCUUAUCAUUAGGGAGAAAAAGGGCAUGAUACCGAUGAUUGUUGGACCUUGAAAAGGGCAUUGGAGAAUUUGAUAGAGCAACGGAAGAUAGUGUUAAGGGACAAGUAGGUCACAAAUGUCACUAACAAUCCGUUGCCAAUUCACAAUAACGGGCUAGUAAUCGGAAUUAUUUGUGAAGACAUGGAGUUUGAUCCAGCUUUGAAAGCUAUAAAUGCUAUUGCUGAUGCGGAAAGGAAGCCUAAGGUAACCUCAAAGCAGAAUAAAGGGGAAAAGAAGACAAACUGUCAAGACUGAACCUGAGAAGAAGGUCGAAACAAAAGCAGAGAUAGUGCCUCCUAAAAAUGGGGUUCUCUAUGUUCUGCGAGGUUUUGAAGAAAAGCCGUUAGUUGUGAGGACUCCAAAGAAAUUUGAACUGAAAAAGGGAACACCAAUGUAUGUGCCAAAAGGAGCCUAUGUGGUUUGGGGGACGAAUAAACCACUUCGGCUGAAUGAGCAAGUGGUUAUCGGACACGUGCCAUAGAAGCCAAUGUCGGACCCGUCUGCUGUGCCAUGGAACUAUUAGCAGACGAUGGUUACAUAUAAAGGUAAGGAAAUAACGAAGAACUUCCAAGAAAUACCUUUGCUGAGAAAUAUUCAAAUAUACAAGAGAUAAACAGUGCCACGCAAAAGCGCUUUCCACCUAAGAAGCCUGUGAGUGUUGAGGAAGCAGAGGCGUUCUUCCAAAAAAUGAAGGUGUCUGAUUAUGAAGUAGUUGAUUAGUUGUGAAAGUAUCCUGAAUAGGUUUCUAUGUUGUCUUUGUUAAUAAGGUCUGCUAAGCAUCAGAAGAUCUUAAUAAGAACUCUUAAUGAGGCGUAUGUUCUAGCCGAGACUUCGUUCGAACCGCUUGAAAGAAUGGUAGAAAGGUUCUUCACUGUCAAUCAAAUUUCCUUGAGUAAAAAUGACUUGCCUCCUAAGGGAGCGGCUCACAACAAAGCUUUACAUCUGACUAUCAAGUGUCAAGCUUUUUAUGUCAAGCGAGUAAUGGUGGAUGGGGGAUCGGGUGUUGACAUUUAUCCAUGCUCCACACUGCAAAGAAUGGAAAUCGGGACGGGAAGGAUUUGUCCCAAUUACAUAUGUGUAAGAUCCUUUGAUGAUAUUAAAAGGGAUACCAACAGAGAGAUAGAUCUGGUAUUAACCAUAGGUCUGGUGGAUUUUGAGGUUGUUAGCUUCAAGGUUUCACGUAUUAAUUUUGAUGAUUAUAAACUAACAUGAGUAUUAAUCAAAGAACACUUACUUGUGGUAAUCUUAUUUCUGCAUAGAUUUAUUCACAAAAAAAAUAUGAUGGUAAAGAUCGAGAUAUAUACGGGAAAGAAAAUAUCGUGUGAAGAUUUUAUCAUGGAAGAUUAUUUUCAGAGAGUUAUUCUCCAAGCAUCAUAGAAGGAGUAAUAUUUGAAAGUCAAGAUUCAGAUAUUGGAUGGCUUACAAUAAUAUCAGAAGAAAAAUCUAUGGAACUUAUGGAUGGAAGCUUUUCAACAUCUUGAAAGGAAAGUUGCUAAAAUCAUGGAGAAGAUUUAUUAUUUUAUGGAAGGAAGUUACUACAUGAAAAAGAUACUACAAAUCAAAGGAACAAUAUAUUUAUAUUAUGAAAAGAUAUUAUUUUCCAGUAUAAAGAAAGGAAUAUCUUCAAUAUAAGAAGAAUAUUUUUUUUGUGGAAAGAAAAUCUAAUAUGGAUGUAGUGCAAUCAAUAUUAUGGAAGGAGAUUAUUUUCCAAGAUCAAGAAAGGAAUAUCUCUAAUAUAAUAAGAGUUCAAAGAUAUAUUGAGAUCUUCAUAUUGAAGAAAAUAUUCAUGAUCCAAAGUCAAAAGGGAAAAAUAUUAUAUAUUCAUGAAGGAAGAUAUCCUAUUCAAUUUUAUAUAUAUAUAUAUAUAUAUGUAUAUACCUAACCUUCUUUGCGGACCCAUUUUGGUGCGGGAUGGCGGUGCAAUAGGCACAUAUACUGNNNNNNNNNNNNNNNNNNNNNNNNNNNNNNNNNNNNNNNNNNNNNNNNNNNNNNNNNNNNNNNNNNNNNNNNNNNNNNNNNNNNNNNNNNNNNNNNNNNNNNNNNNNNNNNNNNNNNNNNNNNNNNNNNNNNNNNNNNNNNNNNNNNNNNNNNNNNNNNNNNNNNNNNNNNNNNNNNNNNNNNNNNNNNNNNNNNNNNNNNNNNNNNNNNNNNNNNNNNNNNNNNNNNNNNNNNNNNNNNNNNNNNNNNNNNNNNNNNNNNNNNNNNNNNNNNNNNNNNNNNNNNNNNNNNNNNNNNNNNNNNNNNNNNNNNNNNNNNNNNNNNNNNNNNNNNNNNNNNNNNNNNNNNNNNNNNNNNNNNNNNNNNNNNNNNNNNNNNNNNNNNNNNNNNNNNNNNNNNNNNNNNNNNNNNNNNNNNNNNNNNNNNNNNNNNNNNNNNNNNNNNNNNNNNNNNNNNNNUAUAUAUAUAUAUAUAUAUAUAUAUAUACACUACGAUUUUGAAAGAGAAGUGUUGGGUUUUCUACUAUUUCAAGGCAAAACUAUUGAAAAGAUAUUCCAAAUCACUACAAGAUUUUGAUAUGAAAAUAAAUCAUAUGUUCAAGAUCUAUGUAAAGAAGGGAAGCAACAAAUCAAUAUUGAAAGGAAAAAAGGGAGACAAAGUGAGAUUUUAUUUCCAUAAGUCAAGAAGCAAGCAUCGACCCAAGAUCGACCAUAAAAGAAGAGGAGCAAAGCUCUUGAAAGAAAUUUACAAUUAUGGAGAAGCAAUCUGGAUGGAAUAAAAAGAUUGCAUGGGAUUUACUACCCAAGGAAAAAUGUUUAUUUGUGGGAAAUAAUCAAAAAUAGGAAGAAUCAAUUAAAGGAGCACAAAGAAUAUUUUCUUUAGAAGGAAAGCCAUCAUAUAUCAUUGACCAUUAUAUUCUGCAUUUAAUGAGAAAAAUUAGCAAUGAUCAUAUUGGAGGCAACAAUAUAUGUUGAAGAGCAACCCAGAAGAAGAUUCACGCAUCCUUCUAUACAAAUUGUCUAUCAUCCUACAAGUUCUUUAUUCUAAUCUUAACAAGCAUUAUAAUUCACUUUAGUAGAUUUAUUGUGUACAAGAAAGAGAGAAGAGAGAUAGAAAAAUUGGAGAUGUAGUGUGUUUAAAGAGGUCAUGUCAUUGUUUGUUUCUGUUGCGAGCGAGUGAAAACCAAAUGGUCGUUGUUGAUGAGUGAGUGAAAACCAACCCUGUAAAUAUUGGUGGUGAACGUUGAAAAUCACCCAAGCUGUACUCAAGACAAAUUUACGAAGAGCUCCAAAAGACAACACUCUUGAAACCCGAGAGGACUGGAUUAAGAUACCACAUUGGUUUCGAAACAGUAUAAAAUCCUUGGUGUCAUUUACUUUAUCGCACAUAUAUUAUAUUCUGUUCCUUUACUAUUUGUUGUGAUUAACACCUAUUUAAAUCAAAAGGACUAAAAGUUAUGUGCAGGUUGUCCCCGCAUAAGUGGACUAGGUUGAAAGAGUAGUCGACUAAAAAUACAAAAAAUCUACAAUUCACCCCCCCCCCUCUUGUACUUUCAAUUGGUAUCAGAUCCAGGUCUCACAUCUUUAUUUUUUGCUUAACAGCAAGUGAGAAAAGAUUCAUGGCAGGUCAUGAAAUUAUUGGAAUCGUAUUUCAAGAGGGAUACUCAAUAAGAAGGACACCUUACUUCAACAGUCAAUACUAUAUCCAUUGGAAAGAAAUAAUUAAGGUUUAUGUUCAAUCAAUAGAUUAUCGAUCUUGGUUAGUUUUUCAUAAUGAACCAUGACCUAUUUCGAACAACAAUGAUGGAAAGAAGCUUGUAGAAUGGGAAUCCAUGUUGAACUACACAAAAGAACAAUUGAAUAUUAUGCAAACAAAUGAUAGAGCAAUCAACAUGAUCUAUUGUGCGAUUAGUGUAGAAGAAUAUUAGAGAAUAUCCACCUGUGAGACUGCUAAAGAUAUAUGGGACCGAUUGGAAAAUAUCCACGGAAACGCCAACAAAGUAAAGGAAAUUGAAUCCAUGUCAACCAUUAAAGAAUCUGAAAAUGGUGAAAAUCGACAAGACUUGGUCAUGAUACCCUGGAUGAGAAGAAGGAAGAGUUGAAAGAAGCAUAAUAGAAAAUCUCAAUCCAUCCAGAAUCAUCAGAAGAAUUGGAAGAAUGAGGUUCAACAACAAGAAAAUAUAUGCUGCUACAGAUGUGGUAAACUUGGACAUAUGAAAUUCAAAUGUCCCGGACCCAAGAAGAAAAAACAUAGAAUCUCAACUUGGAUUGAUAAGGAUGAUCAAGAAGAAAUGACAAACACAUGUCUCAAGAAAAGAGAAGAAACUGAAGAGGCAUGCUUUAAUGCUAUUCUGGAUUGUGAUCUCAAGAAAAAAAUCACAAAUCAUGGAGGGAUGAGAAUGAAUCUGAAGAAGAAAACAAUCACGAAAGAAUGGAGAAUCAUUGUUUCAUGGAAAAAAGAGAAAUUAACAAGGUAUGUCACACUCCUAUUACAUAUUGUAAUAACUGCGAUGAAUUGCAGGACGAUAAAGAUAUCGUUUUCAAGGACUUUAAGAAAGUUCUAAAUGAAUAUCAUAAGUUGAGGAAGGAUAAGAAGAAUUGGGAGAUCCAAAUUGAAGAAUAUAAGAAGUUGACGCAUGAGUAGAAAGAUUGGGAGAUCCAACUUAAAGAAUGCAAUAAGUUGAGAAAUUAAAAGAAUGAGUGGGAUAUUACGUUUAAAGAAUAUCGAGUUGAGAACAGCUUACUUCAAGAAGAAAAUUCUAAGCUUCACAAACAAAUUAGUAGAUUGCACAAACCCCCCAGCCACUACUUUGACCAAUCAAAGUCAUCUCUUUGGCUUAACAACUAUAAGUCGGUUGAAAAGGGAUCUACUGAUAAAUGUCCUACUUUGAAUAAGUUGACUGAGGAAAUCUCCAAGUCAAUUAAUAAGGCAGCUGCAUGUAAACACUCUUAUUCUCAUAUUACAUGCCACUACUGUGUCAAUUCUGGACAUAAAGUAUUUUCUCGUAAUUAUGUGAAAAGUUAUGCUAGAUCAAAAUAUGUUUGGAGACCAAAAAUUGUUACAUGCAUCGCAAACUAUUCAAUCUACUAACCAUGAAGGACCCAAAAAGAUUUGGGUACCAAAAAUAAACUAAUUUUUUUGCAAGAACUCUCUAGUCCAGCAAUAAAAAAGGAUUAAAGAUGUUUGCAUAUUGGUUGAUAGAGGAACGUGCUUUAAAAUUUUACAUAUUCACAUAGGAUGAAUGAAAUACGACAUAUGAUCUAAAAGAGUGAUUGGUAUCACUAAGUUUAUUCAAGUUCUUCUCGCUGCAUAUAUUCAACUAUUGGUUUAGUAAAGUAUAACCUAGUUUAUGCAUAUUAGAUUUUGCAAGAACUCUCUAGUCCAGUAAUAAAAAGGAUUAAUGAUGUUUGCAUAUUGGCUGGUUGAGGAACGUGCUUCAAGAUCUUACAUAUUCAUAGAGAAUGAAUGAAAUACGACAUCUGGCCUAAAAGAGUGAUUGGUAUUACUAAGUUUUAUUCAAGUUCUUCUCGCUGCAUAUAUUUAGCUAUUGAUUUAGUAAAGUAUAACCUAGUUUAUGCGUAUUAGGCAUCUCCUUGCAUUCUUGUCCACUGGCUACAUCACAUUGUUAUUUUAUUGAUAUUAUUCUUUAUCCAUGAAUUAGAGACUUUAAAUAACCUGAGUACAUGUUUUUUAUGAACCAUGUCAUUUGCAUAAGAUAUUAGGAUAAGAAAGAAUGUAAUUAUAUUUAUAUUGUACAAACUUGACUCAUGCCUAUAUGCGUCUUAGAUUAUUCUUGAAAUGAAUUAUGUGUGUGAUAGUAUUUUCUUGGUAAGAAUACUAAUGCCUCACUCAAGACCAAGAAAGAUAUCUAACUUUGAGGCCCCUUCUGCAAUUGAAUCAUUUUGGGUAAUAUCAAAUGCUUGAAGAUGAAAGGUAUGUAUCUCUAUUAUUAGUUUUUAUUGGGUUAUGUUCUGGAUGUAUACUAGUGGACAUCUUAUAUGAGAUAUAGAAGGAAGAAAAAUUAAGUGUUGAUUAUUUCUAUCUUUUUGUUGCAAAUACCAAAACCUUGAAAGGUAUAUAUAUAUAUAUAUAUAUAUAUAUAUAUAUAUAUAUAUAUGUUUCUAUUGAUGAUUAUCCUUACUUUUCAUAGGUCAUAUAUUUUUAAAUUAAAAAUAAUGUUUUUGCUAUGAUCAUCAAUGUGAGUUUUAACAGUAUUUGUUUGACAUUUACUUGUAACAAGCAUGAUCCUUCACAUUUUAGUUUGGCGCAUGAAUUGAAUGCAAGUUUGAAAAUAAAGCAUCAUUUUUUGCAUAAAAUAUCAUCAUUGGCUUAUAUGUGCUUUAAUAUUUACAUUGGAUCUUAUCUUAAAUGAAUUUCUAUAUUAGCUUUGGGAAGGGAGAAAAUUAAUUUUUUGUUAUCUUAUUUCUUUUGGUUGCAACUUUCUUGGUAAGACUCUUAAUAUAUUCCUUAUUCAUUAUUACUUCGAGUUAUAAAAUUUAGAAUAUUAGGUAUAGAAAAAUCACAAUAUGCGUGGUUUUCUUUACACUAAUACUUUUCUAAGAAAUUUGUGAAUAAGAAUGGAGAACUUGCAGUGGAUAGCUUGCAAUAAAUUGCUAGUGACAUAUUUUUAGCAGUUAAACUAGACAGUCUUGAAGAAGCAUUAAAACAAUAUAUGUUGGAUUCUAGCAAUACGAGACUUGUUGAACGAA